GACGAACGCUGGCGGCGUGCUUAACACAUGCAAGUCGAACGGAAAGGUCCUGCUUUUGUGGGGUGCUCGAGUGGCGAACGGGUGAGUAACACGUGAGUAACCUGCCCUUGACUUUGGGGUAACUUCAGGAAACUGGGGCUAAUACCGGAUAGGAGCUCCUGCUGCAUGGUGGGGGUUGGAAAGUUUCGGCGGUUGGGGAUGGACUCGCGGCUUAUCGGCUUGUUGGUGGGGUAGUGGCUUACCAAGGCUUUGAAGGGUAGCCGGCCUGCGAGGGUGACCGGCCACAUGGCGACUGAGAGACGGACCAGACUCCAACGGGAGGCAGCAGUGGGGAACAUUGCGGAAUGGGCGGAAGCCUGAGACAGCAACGCCGCGUUCGGAAUGACGGCCUUCUGGUUGUAAACCGAUGUCGCAGGUGACGAGGCGUUCGUGACGGUAAUGGGUAAGAAAGCACCGGCUAACUACGUG
This 468-nucleotide ribosomal RNA is filed under the name uncultured bacterium. RNAcentral's name for it is "partial 16S ribosomal RNA". It matches the Rfam family "Bacterial small subunit ribosomal RNA", at positions 28 to 507 of the family's 1533-position model. The record is from RNAcentral.